CAGCCGCCGCGGUAAUACGUAGGGUGCGAGCGUUAAUCGGAUUUACUGGGCGUAAAGCGUGCGCAGGCGGCCCGUUAAGACAGGUGUGAAAUCCCUGGGCUCAACCUAGGAAUUGCGCUUGUGACUGGCGGGCUCGAGUACGGUAGAGGGGGGUGGAAUUCCUGGUGUAGCAGUGAAAUGCGUAGAGAUCAGGAGGAACACCGAUGGCGAAGGCAGCCCCCUGGGCCUGUACUGACGCUCAUGCACGAAAGCGUGGGGAGCAAACAGGAUUAGAUCCCCUGGUAGUCAACGCCCUAAACGAUGGGUACUAGCCGUUUGGUGCGCGAUAGCGCUGAGUGGCGAAGCUAACGCGAGAAGUACCCCGCCUGGGGAGUACGGCCGCAAGGUUGAAACUUAAAGGAAUUGGCGGG
RNAcentral lists this ribosomal RNA (410 nucleotides) under uncultured microorganism. RNAcentral's name for it is "bacterial SSU rRNA". It matches the Rfam family "Bacterial small subunit ribosomal RNA", at positions 509 to 917 of the family's 1533-position model. The record is from RNAcentral.